AGAGCAAGAGGAUAGUGAAAUAAGAUGUGAGGAAUAAUUUCAUCUUUCAUGACCCCAAGGGGACAUAUCUGCUGAGCAUAAUUUUCCAAGUUUCCUUCUUAACAGUCAAUACAGUAGUCCCACCUUAUGCAUGGUUUUACUUACCCUCAGUCAACUGUCAUCCAAAAAUAUUCAAUACAAAAUUCCAGAAAUAAACAUUUUGUAAGUUUUAAAUUGCACAUCAUUCUGAGGAGCAUGAUGAAAUCUCUUGUAGUCCCACCUGGGACACGUGAACCAUAUAUACAACAUACCAUGCUGUAUACGUCACUUGCCCCUGGGUAACCUAGUAGCUGCCUUAGUUAUCAGGUUGACUUUAAUGGUUUUACGUUGCUUGUGUUCAAGUAAUCCUUCUUUUACUUAAUAAAGGCCCCAAAGUGCGAAAGUAGUGAUGUUGGCAAUUUGGAUAUGCCAAAGAGAAGCUGCACAGAGUGCUUUAAAUGAAAAGGUGAAAAUUAUCGACUUAAUAAAAAAAACCGUAUGCUGAAAUUGCUAAGAUCUAAGGCAGCCUGUAGAAGAAAAAUGACAUCCCAGCUGGAUACCAGAAAGAUCCUUCAGUAAUAAGGAUGGCCAAGGCUGGAAGAUGGAGAUGGAUGAGCAUCACAAGAUUCCAGAGUAAAACAGAUCAAAGAACAGAGAGGUACAUGGCCAAUAUGAUUUCAUCUGUCUUAAAUCCUUAAUAUCCAGUAGCCACUGUGGGACAGGUCUGCCCAUCCUUAAUUACUAUAUUAUUGACUGGAGUUACUGACCGGUUUUUAGGUCACUGAAGCACCAAGGUUCCUAUACAGAGCUACUGAGCAAAGUACUUGUUCACAAUUUUCAGUCUAACUAAAACCUUUAAGAAAACUUAGACUUUGAGAAUUCUAAGUCUUUAGCACAGAAUGAUGUGAAAUUACUGAUGUUAAUGUUGUGUCAUAAGAACCAAGAAGAAAAUUAAAUGAACCAAUCACAAUUCCAAAAUUCUCCAGAGGUUUAAUAAAUUCUGUAGUACCA
Long non-coding RNA from Nomascus leucogenys (northern white-cheeked gibbon), 1029 nucleotides. RefSeq lists it as uncharacterized. The transcript has 2 exons. Lineage: Eukaryota; Metazoa; Chordata; Mammalia; Primates; Hylobatidae. The record is from RefSeq and is a predicted model, not a curated record.